GCUUCUAGAAGCAAAAUGGAUCGCACGACAUAUAUCUUGAUUUGAUGGCACAAUAACUGCUUAUCUGUUACCUUCCAACUCAACCUGGACUUGGUUAGCAGUGACUUCAAGGCUUCUAGAACUCGGUUUGGAUCUGAUGGUGGGUUGAAUGCCAUCAGAAAAAGUUGAAUGAUAUACUAACUUGCUGUCCAAAUAUGACACAGUUUUGCCUUGCUAUUGUAUUCUCGGUCUUUGAUUUCCUCGU
RNAcentral lists this long non-coding RNA (244 nucleotides) under Phoenix dactylifera (date palm). RNAcentral's name for it is "long non-coding RNA (PDAC_LNC002684)". Lineage: Eukaryota; Viridiplantae; Streptophyta; Magnoliopsida; Arecales; Arecaceae. The record is from RNAcentral.